UACCGGCGGCUCGAGCGGUGGCCGAAAUUAUUGUGCCUAAAGGGUCCGUAGGCGGCUUCGCAAGUCCCCUGGGAAAUCCAGCGGCUUAACCGUUGGGCGCUCAUGGGAUAUUAGGAGGCUUGGGACUGGGGGAGGCGAGAGGUACUCGAGGGGUAGGGGUGAAAUCCUGUAAACCUUCGGGGACCACCGGUGGCGAAGGCGUCUCGCCAGAACAGGUCCGACGGUGAGGGACGAAAGCUAGGGGCACGAACCGG
This 254-nucleotide ribosomal RNA is filed under the name uncultured archaeon. Its description in RNAcentral is "partial 16S ribosomal RNA". It matches the Rfam family "Archaeal small subunit ribosomal RNA", at positions 474 to 727 of the family's 1478-position model. The record is from RNAcentral.